This 486-nucleotide ribosomal RNA is filed under the name uncultured bacterium. RNAcentral's name for it is "partial 16S ribosomal RNA". It matches the Rfam family "Bacterial small subunit ribosomal RNA", at positions 30 to 507 of the family's 1533-position model. The record is from RNAcentral.
AUUGAACGCUGGCGACAUGCCUUACACAUGCAAGUCGAACGGUAGCACGGGUGCUUGCACCUGGUGGCGAGUGGCGAACGGGUGAGUAAUACAUCGGAACAUGUCCUGUAGUGGGGGAUAGCCCGGCGAAAGCCGGAUUAAUACCGCAUACGAUCUACGGAUGAAAGCGGGGGACCUUCGGGCCUCGCGCUAUAGGGUUGGCCGAUGGCUGAUUAGCUAGUUGGUGGGGUAAAGGCCUACCAAGGCGACGAUCAGUAGCUGGUCUGAGAGGACGACCAGUCACACUGGGACUGAGACACGGCCCAGACUCCUACGGGAGGCAGCAGUGGGGAAUUUUGGACAAUGGGCGAAAGCCUGAUCCAGCAAUGCCGCGUGUGUGAAGAAGGCCUUCGGGUUGUAAAGCACUUUUGUCCGGAAAGAAAUCCUUGGCCCUAAUACGGUCGGGGGAUGACGGUACCGGAAGAAUAAGCACCGGCUAACUACGUG